RNAcentral lists this ribosomal RNA (484 nucleotides) under uncultured bacterium. RNAcentral's name for it is "partial 16S ribosomal RNA". It matches the Rfam family "Bacterial small subunit ribosomal RNA", at positions 28 to 507 of the family's 1533-position model. The record is from RNAcentral.
AUUGAACGCUGGCGGCAUGCUUUACACAUGCAAGUCGAACGGCAGCGCGGGCUUCGGCCUGGCGGCGAGUGGCGAACGGGUGAGUAAUGCAUCGGAAAGUGCCCAGUAGUGGGGGAUAGCCCGGCGAAAGCCGGAUUAAUACCGCAUACGACCUGAGGGGGAAAGCGGGGGGCCGAAGGGCCUCGGGCUAUUGGAGCGGCCGAUGUCGGAUUAGCUAGUUGGUGGGGUAAAGGCUUACCAAGGCGACGAUCCGUAGCUGGUCUGAGAGGACGACCAGCCACACUGGGACUGAGACACGGCACAGACUCCUACGGGAGGCAGCAGUGGGGAAUUUUGGACAAUGGGGGCAACCCUGAUGCAGCCAUGCCGCGUGCGGGAAGAAGGCCUUCGGGUUGUAAACCGCUUUUGUUCGGGAAGAAAUCCUCUGGGCUAAUACCCCGUGGGGAUGACGGUACCGGAAGAAUAAGCACCGGCUAACUACGUG